GAUGAACGCUAGCGGCAGGCCUAACACAUGCAAGUCGAGGGGUAGAGUUAGCUUGCUAACUUGAGACCGGCGCACGGGUGCGUAACGCGUAUGCAAUCUACCUUAUACAGAGGGAUAGCCCAGAGAAAUUUGGAUUAAUACCUCAUAGUAUUAUCGAGUGGCAUCAUUUGAUAAUUAAAGUUCCAACGGUAUAAGAUGAGCAUGCGUCCCAUUAGUUAGUUGGUAAGGUAACGGCUUACCAAGACUACGAUGGGUAGGGGUCCUGAGAGGGAGAUCCCCCACACUGGUACUGAGACACGGACCAGACUCCUACGGGAGGCAGCAGUGAGGAAUAUUGGACAAUGGGCGCAAG
This 352-nucleotide ribosomal RNA is filed under the name uncultured bacterium. Its description in RNAcentral is "bacterial SSU rRNA". It matches the Rfam family "Bacterial small subunit ribosomal RNA", at positions 28 to 381 of the family's 1533-position model. The record is from RNAcentral.